Molecule: ribosomal RNA, 598 nt
Filed under: Rhodotorula mucilaginosa
Lineage: Eukaryota; Fungi; Basidiomycota; Microbotryomycetes; Sporidiobolales; Sporidiobolaceae
Description: LSU rRNA
Rfam family: Eukaryotic large subunit ribosomal RNA
Source: RNAcentral
CCAACGGGGAUUCCCCUAGUAGCGGCGAGCGAAGCGGGAAGAGCUCAAAUUUAUAAUCUGGCACCUUCGGUGUCCGAGUUGUAAUCUCUAGAAAUGUUUUCCGCGUUGGACCGCACACAAGUCUGUUGGAAUACAGCGGCAUAGUGGUGAGACCCCCGUAUAUGGUGCGGACGCCCAGCGCUUUGUGAUACAUUUUCGAAGAGUCGAGUUGUUUGGGAAUGCAGCUCAAAUUGGGUGGUAAAUUCCAUCUAAAGCUAAAUAUUGGCGAGAGACCGAUAGCGAACAAGUACCGUGAGGGAAAGAUGAAAAGCACUUUGGAAAGAGAGUUAACAGUACGUGAAAUUGUUGGAAGGGAAACGCUUGAAGUCAGACUUGCUUGCCGAGCAAUCGGUUUGCAGGCCAGCAUCAGUUUUCCGGGAUGGAUAAUGGUAGAGAGAAGGUAGCAGUUUCGGCUGUGUUAUAGCUCUCUGCUGGAUACAUCUUGGGGGACUGAGGAACGCAGUGUGCCUUUGGCGGGGGUUUCGACCUCUUCACACUUAGGAUGCUGGUGGAAUGGCUUUAAACGACCCGUCUUAAAAAGGGGGGACAAAAAAAAGUA